RNAcentral lists this small nucleolar RNA (82 nucleotides) under Crocodylus porosus (Australian saltwater crocodile). RNAcentral's name for it is "Small nucleolar RNA SNORD72 (ENSCPRG00005015949.1)". It matches the Rfam family "Small nucleolar RNA SNORD72". From Rfam's summary of the family: snoRNA HBII-240 belongs to the CD family of snoRNAs. It is the human orthologue of the mouse MBII-240 and is predicted to guide 2'O-ribose methylation of the large 28S rRNA at residue U4590. The record is from Rfam by way of RNAcentral. Lineage: Eukaryota; Metazoa; Chordata; Crocodylia; Crocodylidae.
AGCUUGUCAAUGAUGUUUCUCUUUAAAAAAUGUCUGAACAUAUGAGUUCAGAAGUGAUUUCAACCUGUAACUGAGAUAAGCU